GACGAACGCUGGCGGCGUGCCUAAUACAUGCAAGUCGAACGCACAGUUUAUACCGUAGCUUGCUACACCAUAGACUGUGAGUUGCGAACGGGUGAGUAACGCGUAGGUAACCUGCCUGGUAGCGGGGGAUAACUAUUGGAAACGAUAGCUAAUACCGCAUAAUAUUAAUUAUUGCAUGAUAAUUAAUUGAAAGGUGCAAUUGCACCACUACCAGAUGGACCUGCGUUGUAUUAGCUAGUGGGUGAGGUGACGGCUCACCUAGGCGACGAUACAUAGCCGACCUGAGAGGGUGAUCGGCCACACUGGGACUGAGACACGGCCCAGACUCCUACGGGAGGCAGCAGUAGGGAAUCUUCGGCAAUGGACGAAAGUCUGACCGAGCAACGCCGCGUGAGUGAAGAAGGUUUUCGGAUCGUAAAGCUCUGUUGUAAGAGAAGAACGGGUGUGAGAGUGGAAAGUUCACACUGUGACGGUAUCUUACCAGAAAGGGACGGCUAACUACGUG
This 505-nucleotide ribosomal RNA is filed under the name uncultured bacterium. RNAcentral describes it as "partial 16S ribosomal RNA". It matches the Rfam family "Bacterial small subunit ribosomal RNA", at positions 28 to 507 of the family's 1533-position model. The record is from RNAcentral.